This 484-nucleotide ribosomal RNA is filed under the name uncultured bacterium. Its description in RNAcentral is "partial 16S ribosomal RNA". It matches the Rfam family "Bacterial small subunit ribosomal RNA", at positions 29 to 507 of the family's 1533-position model. The record is from RNAcentral.
AUUGAACGCUGGCGGAAUGCUUUACACAUGCAAGUCGAGCGGCAGCACGGGGGCAACCCUGGUGGCGAGCGGCGAACGGGUGAGUAAUACAUCGGAACACGCCCAGUCGUGGGGGAUAACACUUCGAAAGAAGUGCUAAUACCGCAUACGUCCUGAGGGGGAAAGCGGGGGAUCGCAAGACCUCGCGCGAUUGGAGUGGCCGAUGUCAGAUUAGCAAGUUGGUGGGGUAAAGGCCUACCAAGGCAACGAUCUGUAGCUGGUCUGAGAGGAUGAUCAGCCACACUGGGACUGAGACACGGCCCAGACUCCUACGGGAGGCAGCAGUGGGGAAUUUUGGACAAUGGGGGCAACCCCGAUCCAGCCAUUCCGCGUGAGUGAAGAAGGCCUUCGGGUUGUAAAGCUCUUUCGGCAGGAACGAAACGGUGAGCUCUAACAUAGCUUGCUAAUGACGGUACCUGAAGAAGAAGCACCGGCUAACUACGUG